Molecule: ribosomal RNA, 253 nt
Filed under: uncultured bacterium
Lineage: Bacteria
Description: partial 16S ribosomal RNA
Rfam family: Bacterial small subunit ribosomal RNA
Source: RNAcentral
UACGGGGGGGGCAAGCGUUGUUCGGAAUCACUGGGCGUAAAGGGCGCGUAGGCGGGGAGGUAAGUCGGGUGUGAAAUCCCUCGGCCCAACCGAGGAACUGCGCCCAAGACUGCUUCUCUUGAGUCCCGGAGAGGAAGAUGGAAUUCCCGGUGUAGCGGUGAAAUGUGUAGAGAUCGGGAGGAACACCGGUGGCGAAGGCGGUCUUCUGGACGGUGACUGACGCUGAGGCGCGAAAGCGUGGGGAGCAAACAGG